UCCCUGUCUUGUAGCAAUACCGGGCAGGGGGAAGUGGCGAAAGGGGCAGUAAGGCGUGGGUAACCUACCCCGGGGAUGGGCAUAGCCGUUCUAACGAGCGGGUAAUUCCCAGCGAUCCGGCGAGGGGGCAUCUCCUUGCCGGGAAAUGAGUUUCGCCUCGGGAGGGACUCACGUGCUAUUAGCUGGUUGGCGGGGUAACGGCCCACCAAGGCUAAGAUGGCUAGCGGGUGUGAGAGCACGACCCGCGCCACUGGCACUGAGACACUGGCCAGACACCUACGGGUGGCUGCAGUCGAGGAUCUUCGUCAAUGGGCGCAAGCCUGAACGAGCGACGCCGCGUGUGCGAUGAAGGCCUUCGGGUUGUAAAGCACUGUCGAGGGGGACCAAGGCCCGCAAGGGCUUGAUCGAUCCCUGGAGGAAGCACGGGCUAAGUUCGUGCCAGCAGCCGCGGUAAGACGAACCGUGCGAACGUUGUUCGGAAUCACUGGGCAUAAAGGGCGCGUAGGCGGCUCGCGAGGUCGGGGGUGAAAUCCCACAGCUUAACUGUGGAAGUGCCUCCGAUACCGGCGGGCUUGAGGGAGGUAGGGGUGCGCGGAACUUCUGGUGGAGCGGUGAAAUGCGUUGAUAUCAGAAGGAACGCCGGCGGCGAAAGCGGCGCACUGGAUCUCUACUGACGCUGAGGCGCGAAAGCCAGGGGAGCAAACGGGAUUAGAUACCCCGGUAGUCCUGGCCCUAAACGAUGGGUACUAGGCCGUGGGCCAGUCAUGGGCUCACAGCCGAAGCUAAUGUGUUAAGUACCCCGCCUGGGGAGUAUGGUCGCAAGGCUGAAACUC
Molecule: ribosomal RNA, 833 nt
Filed under: uncultured Planctomycetota bacterium
Lineage: Bacteria; Pseudomonadati; Planctomycetota
Description: bacterial SSU rRNA
Rfam family: Bacterial small subunit ribosomal RNA
Source: RNAcentral